RNAcentral lists this long non-coding RNA (1838 nucleotides) under Macaca mulatta (Rhesus monkey). Its description in RNAcentral is "lncRNA (ENSMMUG00000052122.1)". The record is from RNAcentral. Lineage: Eukaryota; Metazoa; Chordata; Mammalia; Primates; Cercopithecidae.
AUGCUGUCUCUUCUCUCAUCUGGCCGUAAACUGCUGCUGACUUGGGCUGGGCGGCUUGUGCUGUCAGCCUGUCGGCGAGUUCUGGAGGUUAGUCUCGGCGAGUUCUGGAGGUUAGUCUCACCACCGAUCGAUGAUUCAGGUCACCUACACGCCCCUCUGGAAACGGCUCUGUUCUCGUGGUUGGAGAGCUCUUCUGUUAGCAUCUCCAGCAGUGCUAAGCAUUGUCUAUGGCGGGACGGCCCCUGUCCCAGUGGAUGGCUUGCCUUGUCUAGGCCACCGAGGCCCUUGCCCCUGAGCUUCCUGCAAGCUCGGAGCCUGGAGGAGGGGCGCAUCCCAGGAAAGGCACCUGUGCGGAAGCAAGCUCAAACCGUGAGGUGUCUUCAUUCUCGGAUUCUGAGAGCCUAGUGUGUGUCAAACGUGGCCCCACUCACAGAUCCGUGCGAAGAACAGGCUAGGACCCCUGCCUCCGAGCACCUCCAGUGUGAAGAGGGAGGUGUCAACACUGGGGUCUCGGCCCAGCCCUCCCGUGUCUGUACCAAUCCGCCAGGCGGCUGGGGCACAGGAGUGUGUUCCCGUGCCAGGCCCUUGCCCAGGGUGGCCCUGCAGAAGGACAGAGUGUCCAUGGCCUGCACACCGAGCCCUGAUUCUGGGAGGAGCCAUCCACAGGAAACAGCAGACGCUUUUGCACCAGGGUCCCCGUUAAAGAGGACGAGAUGCUCACACUUCCUUCAUGGAACCCCCUGUAAGAUGACAGGUACACGAAAGGGGGAAAAUGGCCUCCUGCUUGGAGUGCAAACUCAGCAAGACAGGUCUGGAAGGAUGGGAGCGGGUGGACGGAGCUGACAAGGAGAGCUGAGCCCCAAGGAGCAGUGUGCGGGCUCUGCCUCCACUCUGACGCAGGGCAGUGCUGGCGGCCUCCUCCCAGCGCUGUGGAGAUGGGCCCAGUUGAAAGGCUGCGUAAGAGACUCCUGGUCCUCCCCACCCACACACCUGGGCCUCAGCUGCCUGUGGAACCCAGAGAAGACUAGACUCACAGAGGCUCAUGCUGGAGAGGGAGAGACCUGAGCGGCUCUGGACCCUACAGUGGAAACACAGCCAAACGGGACAGGAACUUCUGGAAACCAGGAGAUUAGGUGAAAAUAGACGUUCUGAGAUGAGAUCCCCACUCAGCUCCCUGAGGGCUCAGUCAAGAAACGGGAGGCUUCUUUCUGGAUACACUUCCUGCGUGUGCCUGAGGCCGCCAUAACCAGUGACCACGUUCUGAGUGGCUGGAAAUGGCAGAAACAUAUUAUCUCAUGGUCCUGAAGGCCAGAAGGUCCAAGAUUGAGUGGUCAGGGCCCUGCUAUCUUGGGAGGCUCUCGGGGAGGCGCCUCCCUUGCCUCUCACAGCCUCUGGUGACCCCAGGUGUUCCUUGGCUCAUGGCCACAGCACUCCAUUCUCUGUGUCCGUCUUCAUGGGGCCUGCUCCGUUUGCCAAAUUUCCUUCUCCCUUCUCUUAUAAACACUCCACCAUUGGCUUUAGAGUCCAUUCUAAAUCUAGGAUGAUUUCAUCUAAAGAUCUUUCGCUAAUAUCUGGAAAGAACCUAUUUCCAAAUCAAGUCAGAUCCUGAGGUUCCCCAGCAGACAUGAACUUCGGGGGCCCCCCAUUCCAUCCACUGAACUCACCAAGCCCAGAUCAGAACCCAUGGGUGCCAUGAGUCGGGGGCCAGAGGGCGCCCCUGUGAAGCCCACCUCCCACCAGCCGGCUGUUUAUCGCUGUGCUCCUAAACAUGGUGGAAAGCAAAGGUCACUCUUUGGGAGAGAAACAAAACCAGAAGAAGCCAAAGGAAGAGGAGCGAG